UACAGGGGGUGCAAACGUUGCUCGGAAUCAUUGGGCGUAAAGCGCACGUAGGCGGUCUGUUAUGUCGGAUGUGAAAGCCCUUGGCUUAACUGAGGAAGUGCAUCCGAAACUGGCAGGCUAGAGUACUAAAGAGGGUCGCGGAAUUCCCGGUGUAGAGGUGAAAUUCGUAGAUAUCAGGAGGAACACCGAUGGCGAAGGCAGGUCUCUGGGCAUUAACUGACGCUGAGGAGCGAAAGCAUGGGGAGCGAACAGG
This 253-nucleotide ribosomal RNA is filed under the name uncultured bacterium. RNAcentral describes it as "partial 16S ribosomal RNA". It matches the Rfam family "Bacterial small subunit ribosomal RNA", at positions 524 to 776 of the family's 1533-position model. The record is from RNAcentral.